CCAAGACUGACCAUAGACAUGAAUACAAAUAAUACAAUUAUUUCAUUUUACCUUAUUACUACUAAGAUUAUUACAGCAUUUCAUUAAUUGUAAUAGAAUU
Long non-coding RNA from Melitaea cinxia (Glanville fritillary), 100 nucleotides. RefSeq lists it as uncharacterized. The record is from RefSeq and is a predicted model, not a curated record. The transcript has 3 exons. Lineage: Eukaryota; Metazoa; Arthropoda; Insecta; Lepidoptera; Nymphalidae.